Molecule: ribosomal RNA, 496 nt
Filed under: uncultured bacterium
Lineage: Bacteria
Description: partial 16S ribosomal RNA
Rfam family: Bacterial small subunit ribosomal RNA
Source: RNAcentral
UGGGGAAUAUUGCACAAUGGGCGAAAGCCUGAUGCAGCAACGCCGCGUGAGUGAUGAAGGUCUUCGGAUUGUAAAGCUCUGUCUUUUGGGACGAUAAUGACGGUACCAAAGGAGGAAGCCACGGCUAACUACGUGCCAGCAGCCGCGGUAAUACGUAGGUGGCGAGCGUUGUCCGGAUUUACUGGGCGUAAAGGGUGCGUAGGCGGAUGUUUAAGUGAGAUGUGAAAUACCCGGGCUUAACUUGGGUGCUGCAUUUCAAACUGGAUAUCUAGAGUGCAGGAGAGGAGAAUGGAAUUCCUAGUGUAGCGGUGAAAUGCGUAGAGAUUAGGAAGAACACCAGUGGCGAAGGCGAUUCUCUGGACUGUAACUGACGCUGAGGCACGAAAGCGUGGGUAGCAAACAGGAUUAGAUACCCUGGUAGUCCACGCCGUAAACGAUGAGUACUAGGUGUAGGAGGUAUCGACCCCUUCUGUGCCGCAGUAAACACAUUAAGUAC